RNAcentral lists this ribosomal RNA (517 nucleotides) under uncultured Actinomycetes bacterium. Its description in RNAcentral is "bacterial SSU rRNA". It matches the Rfam family "Bacterial small subunit ribosomal RNA", at positions 369 to 896 of the family's 1533-position model. Lineage: Bacteria; Bacillati; Actinomycetota; Actinomycetes. The record is from RNAcentral.
CAAUGGGCGGAAGCCUGAUCCAGCAACGCCGCGUGAGGGAUGACGGCCUUCGGGUUGUAAACCUCUUUCAGUACCGACGAAGCGCAAGUGACGGUAGGUACAGAAGAAGCACCGGCCAACUACGUGCCAGCAGCCGCGGUAAUACGUAGGGUGCGAGCGUUGUCCGGAAUUAUUGGGCGUAAAGGGCUCGUAGGCGGUUUGUCGCGUCGGGAGUGAAAACGCCGUGCUUAACACGGCGCUUGCUUUCGAUACGGGCAGACUAGAGGUAUGCAGGGGAGAACGGAAUUCCUGGUGUAGCGGUGAAAUGCGCAGAUAUCAGGAGGAACACCGGUGGCGAAGGCGGUUCUCUGGGCAUUACCUGACGCUGAGGAGCGAAAGUGUGGGGAGCGAACAGGAUUAGAUACCCUGGUAGUCCACACCGUAAACGUUGGGCGCUAGGUGUGGGGUCCAUUCCACGGAUUCCGUGCCGCAGCUAACGCAUUAAGCGCCCCGCCUGGGGAGUACGGCCGCAAGGCUA